RNAcentral lists this ribosomal RNA (397 nucleotides) under uncultured bacterium. RNAcentral describes it as "partial 16S ribosomal RNA". It matches the Rfam family "Bacterial small subunit ribosomal RNA", at positions 523 to 918 of the family's 1533-position model. The record is from RNAcentral.
AUACGUAGGGUGCGAGCGUUGUCCGGAAUGAUUGGGCGUAAAGGGCGCGUAGGCGGCCCGGUAAGUCUGGAGUGAAAGUCCUGUUUUUAAGAUGGGAAUUGCUUUGGAUGCUGUCGGGCUUGAGUGCAGGAGAGGUAAGUGGGAUUCCCAGUGUAGCGGUGAAAUGCGUAGAGAUUGGGAGGAACACCAGUGGCGAAGGCGACUUACUGGACUGUAACUGACGCUGAGGCGCGAAAGUGUGGGGAGCAAACAGGAUUAGAUACCCUGGUAGUCCACACUGUAAACGAUGAAUGCUAGGUGUAGGGGGUAUCGACCCCUUCUGUGCCGCAGUCAACACAAUAAGCAUUCCGCCUGGGGAGUACGGCCGCAAGGUUGAAACUCAAAGGAAUUGACGGGG